Molecule: non-coding RNA, 92 nt
Organism: Acanthosepion pharaonis
Lineage: Eukaryota; Metazoa; Mollusca; Cephalopoda; Sepiida; Sepiidae
Source: the annotation of a GenBank genome assembly
AAAACACCAGUUCCCGUACAAUCACAGAAGUUAAGCAAGGUCGAGUCUGGUUAGUAAACUAGAUGGGUGACCGCUUGUGAAUACCAGGUGCU